RNAcentral lists this unclassified non-coding RNA (257 nucleotides) under uncultured Nectriaceae. RNAcentral describes it as "sequence contains 5.8S rRNA gene". The stretch from base 1 to 53 matches the Rfam family "5.8S ribosomal RNA", at positions 102 to 154 of the family's 154-position model. Lineage: Eukaryota; Fungi; Ascomycota; Sordariomycetes; Hypocreales; Nectriaceae. The record is from RNAcentral.
GAACGCACCUUGCGCUCCUUGGUAUUCCGAGGAGCAUGCCUGUUUGAGUGUCAUUUCAACCCUCAAGCCCCCGGGCUUGGUGUUGGGGAUCGGCGAGCCUCCGCGCCCGCCGUCCCCUAAAUCUAGUGGCGGUCUCGCUGUAGCUUCCUCUGCGUAGUAGCACACCUCGCACUGGGAAACAGCGCGGCCACGCCGUUAAACCCCCAACUUCUGAACGUUUGACCUCGGAUCAGGUAGGAAUACCCGCUGAACUUAAG